Molecule: ribosomal RNA, 497 nt
Filed under: uncultured bacterium
Lineage: Bacteria
Description: partial 16S ribosomal RNA
Rfam family: Bacterial small subunit ribosomal RNA
Source: RNAcentral
GAUGAACGCUGGCGGCGUGCCUAAUACAUGCAAGUCGAACGAACAGAUGAUGAGCUUGCGCCCCUGACGUUAGCGGCUGACGGGUGAGUAACACGUGCAUAACCAACUUAUAAGACUGGGAGAACAUCGGGAAACCGGAGCUAAUACUGGAUAAUAUAUUGAACCGCAGGGUUCAAGAGUGAAAGACGGUUUGGCUGUCACUUAGAGAUGAUGCCGCGCCGGAUUAGCUAGUUGGUAAGGUAACGGCCUACCAAGGCAACGAUGCGUAGCCGACCUGAGAGGGUGAUCGGCCACACUGGAACUGAGACACGGUCCAGACUCCUACGGGAGGCAGCAGUGGGGAAUAUUCCGCAAUGGGCGCAAGCCUGACGCAGCAACGCCGCGUGAGUGAUGAAGGUCUUCGGAUCGUAAAGCUCUUUUAUUAGGGAAGAACAACUGUGUAAGUAACCCCCCACGUCCUGACGGUACCUAAUCAGAAAGCCCCGGCUAACUACGUG